RNAcentral lists this ribosomal RNA (253 nucleotides) under uncultured bacterium. RNAcentral's name for it is "partial 16S ribosomal RNA". It matches the Rfam family "Bacterial small subunit ribosomal RNA", at positions 524 to 776 of the family's 1533-position model. The record is from RNAcentral.
UACAGAGGUCUCAGGCGUUACUCGGAUUGACUGGGCGUAAAGGGCGCGUAGGCGGUUUGUACAGUCAGACGUGAAAUUCCUGGGCUCAACCUGGGGGCUGCGUUUGAUACGUGCGGACUUGAGUUCGGAAGAGGGUCGUGGAAUUCCCAGUGUAGAGGUGAAAUUCGUAGAUAUUGGGAAGAACACCAGUGGCGAAGGCGACUCACUGGACACAUAUUGACGCUGAGGUGCGAAAGCGUGGGGAGCAAACAGG